Molecule: ribosomal RNA, 557 nt
Filed under: uncultured bacterium
Lineage: Bacteria
Description: bacterial SSU rRNA
Rfam family: Bacterial small subunit ribosomal RNA
Source: RNAcentral
UCCUACGGGAGGCAGCAGCAGGGAAUAUUGCACAAUGGGCGAAAGCCUGAUGCAGCGACGCCGCGUGCGGGAUGAAGGCCUUCGGGUUGUAAACCGCUUUCAGGAGGGACGAAAAUGACGGUACCUCCAGAAGAAGGCCCGGCCAACUACGUGCCAGCAGCCGCGGUAAUACGUAGGGGCCAAGCGUUGUCCGGAUUUAUUGGGCGUAAAGGGCUCGUAGGCGGUUUGACAAGUCGGUCGUGAAAACCCGGGGCUCAACCCCGGGACGCCGGUCGAAACUGUCAUGACUAGGGUCCGGUAGAGGUGAGUGGAAUUCUCAGUGUAGCGGUGAAAUGCGCAGAUAUUGAGAGGAACACCAGUAGCGAAGGCGGCUCACUGGGCCGGUACCGACGCUGAGGAGCGAAAGCGUGGGGAGCAAACAGGAUUAGAUACCCUGGUAGUCCACGCCGUAAACGAUGAGAACUAGAUGUCGGGAGGAUUUAGCCUUUCGGUGUCGCAGCUAACGCGUUAAGUUCUCCGCCUGGGGAGUACGCCGGCAACGGUAAAACUCAAAGGAA